Molecule: ribosomal RNA, 119 nt
Organism: Diospyros lotus (date-plum)
Lineage: Eukaryota; Viridiplantae; Streptophyta; Magnoliopsida; Ericales; Ebenaceae
Source: RefSeq, a predicted model, not a curated record
GGGUGCGAUCAUAUCAGCACUAAUGGACCGGAUCCUAUCAGAACUCCGAAGUUAAGUGUGCUUGCACGAGUGUAGUACUAGGAUGGGUAACCCUCUGGGAAGUCCUCGUGUUGCAUCCC